This 254-nucleotide ribosomal RNA is filed under the name uncultured bacterium. Its description in RNAcentral is "partial 16S ribosomal RNA". It matches the Rfam family "Bacterial small subunit ribosomal RNA", at positions 524 to 776 of the family's 1533-position model. The record is from RNAcentral.
UACGUAGGGUGCGAGCGUUGUCCGGAAUUAUUGGGCGUAAAGAGCUCGUAGGCGGUGUGUCGCGUCGGCCGUGAAAACCUGCAGCUUAACUGUGGGCUUGCGGUCGAUACGGGCAUCACUGGAGUUCGGCAGGGGAGACUGGAAUUCCUGGUGUAGCGGUGAAAUGCGCAGAUAUCAGGAGGAACACCGGUGGCGAAGGCGGGUCUCUGGGCCGACAUUGACGCUGAGGAGCGAAAGCGUGGGGAGCGAACAGG